GGCCUCAGUGGCUCCAUGGUAGAGCAUCUGCUUGGCUUGCAGAAGGUCCCAGGUUCCAGCCCCAGCAUCUCCA
This 73-nucleotide transfer RNA is filed under the name Sphaerodactylus townsendi. RNAcentral describes it as "tRNA-Ala". Lineage: Eukaryota; Metazoa; Chordata; Lepidosauria; Squamata; Sphaerodactylidae. The record is from RNAcentral.